RNAcentral lists this long non-coding RNA (2245 nucleotides) under Marmota monax (woodchuck). The record is from RNAcentral. Lineage: Eukaryota; Metazoa; Chordata; Mammalia; Rodentia; Sciuridae.
AUUAAAGGACAGCAGAAAAGACUUCUCCCGGAGGAAGAAGGGGACCCAAGAGGUGGAAUCCCAGUUUUUCUAGUUUCUUGAGGUGUAAAGUUAGUUGGCUAUUUGAGAUCUUUCCUUUUUCAGUACUUGGGAUUCAACCUUGGCUUUGUGCACACUGGCCAAGUGUUCUACCACAAAGUUACACACCCAGCCCUUUUUACUUUUAUUUAUUUUUGGUGCACUAGGUGUUCAACCCAGUGCCUUACAUGUGCUAGGCAAGCAUUCUACCACUCAGGUACAUCUUUGAAGAGCAGAGAAUUUGACAGCAAAUAUGUAGUAAGUACUUUUUUUUAGUUGUUGAUGGACACAAUACAUUUAUUUAUUUUUAUGUGGUGCCGAGGAUCAAACCCAGUGCCUCAUGUGCCAGGGAAGUACUCUACCACUGAGCCACAACUCCAGCCCCAAGUAUAUUUUUCUUCAUUGGUAUCCAUUCUACCCAUAUGACCAGGUAAGUGAAAGAAAAGUUUAAUCUGAAAUAAUCUGAUGUUUCCUGGUUGACUGUAUUUUAACAGACAGCUGGCCCCAAGAUUCUAAAGUGACUGUGGAGUUUGCAGUUUGAACAAGUGCUUCAGCCUGGCAACUUAGCAAGACUCUUUCUCAAAAUUUAAAAAGAGCUGGGGAUGUAGCCCAGUAGUAGACUCCUUGCCUAGCUUGUAUGAGGCUGUUUUCAAUCCCCAGUACACAAGAAAAGGGACUGGCUACAGUGCUUGGGUAGCAUGUGUGAGGCAUUGGGUUCAAUUCUUGGCACCGCAAAUAAAUAAAUAAAUAAAUAUUUAUAUAAAUAUAGUUGUUGAGUGGGAUGACAACAAGUAUGUGAAAGUUCGUGAAACCAGUACUAUCUUUUUGUAUAUAAAUUAGAAAUUUUCUGUAUUGAAAGGUUGAACUAUCAAGAGUGUGAUUUGUGUAACUUGCAAAUGGGUGUGGGAGGUGUCAGGUGUUUUCCUGGUCUGCUCUGUUCCCCAGAGCCCUCUUCAUAGUUAUAGGCAUUUCUAUUGGAAGAGCCUCAAGAAAUCCUGUUUGAGGGUUGGCGUUGUGGUUCAGUGGUAGAAUGCUCACCUAACACACGUGAGUCACUGGGUUUGAUCCUCAGCACCACAUAAAAAUGAAAUAAAGAUACUGUGUGUCCAUCUACAACUAAAAAAUAUUAAAAAUAAAAGAAAACUUGUUUGAUAAAUGCCAGCUUUUAUUUCUUGCCAUCUGACAUUUAUUAAGUUGAUGUUUUUCAGAUACCAGCCCUAGAACCCCAUCCCCAGUCAAGCUCUCAUUAUUCCUCCGGCUUCCUCAGACAGAAAUACCAUCCCUUUGGCCAGCAUCAGAAGUCCUACCUUGCCGGGCACAGUGGUGCACACCUGUAGUCACAGCGGCUCUGGAGGCUGAGGCAGGAGGAUCGCAAGUUCAAAGCCAGCCUCUGCAAAAGCAAGGAACUAAGCAACUCAGUGAGACCCUGUCUCUAAAUAAAAUACAAAAUAGAGCUGGGGAUGUGACUCAGUGGCUGAGUGCCCCUGAAUUCAAUCCCCAGUACCACUCACCCCCCAGAAAAAGGAGUCCUACCUUCCCUCCUCUAAAACCCUAGACUGCUUGAAAAAAACCUCAGUUUUCUUACCUCUAAAAACAGAAUAAUAAAGAUAGUCCACUAAAUGAAUUGAGACAUGGGAAACACAUAGAAAAACAUCUGGAGGUUGGCAUGGAGUUGAUAAAUGUUAGCAUUUCUUGUGUGUGCCAUAUCAUUAUUGGGGACACAGCAACAGAUAUGUCAUAUUUUUUCUCGGGCAUCAUAGAGUUAACACACAGUAAACUAGAAAUUGCUUUAUGAUGUAAUAUUAGGGAGUGGCAAGUCCUAAGAAAAAUAAGCAGUUUAAGUUAGAGUGAGGACACAUGCCAAUUUGUCCAAGGAAGGCAACUGGGAACCAGAGACUUGAACUUAGUAGGCAAGGAGGCUGUCUGCUCUGCAUCUCUACUACAUAGGCCACAUACGUAAGUCAAUCCAUCUUGGCAGAACUUCCUGUGACCCUUGGAACACAGCAUGGAAAGCUCAAGAUGGGAUGCUAGCUAUCAGGCCAUUUCUCACUUGCCUCCCUGUCUCCCAGAGUGUACUGGUCUUACCAGCUUCUAGGGGAAAUAUUUUCUACCUUUCUCUUGACUCAGGGAUAUAGAACUAUAGCUUCACCUUGAAACUGGCUCUGUAGCCAGCUUGUGUCAUGUCAGC